RNA transcript from Chenopodium quinoa (quinoa), 5419 nucleotides. RefSeq lists it as uncharacterized. Lineage: Eukaryota; Viridiplantae; Streptophyta; Magnoliopsida; Caryophyllales; Amaranthaceae. The record is from RefSeq and is a predicted model, not a curated record. The transcript is spliced from 3 exons.
AAAAAGAAGAGCAAGGGAACACCUCUCAUUGUUCUUGUGGGUAAAGCUCAAAUAAAUUGUUGAGCGAUUUUCGUGGGUACCAAACUGUCAAGCAAAAGAUGAUAAAGAUGAAAUUGGAUAAUUAUUGGAGCGAAAAAUUCGGAUUAGUUAGGGAUCAAAGACUCCUAUUGAUAUACAUGGGGCUGGCGAAUUGGAGGGAGAUCUGAGUUUUAUUUUGGGGAUUUUCUGGGCUAGGUUUAGGGCAACAAAUUGAUGAGUUUCAUCUGGAUUAUUGCGAGGUACCUAGCGAGCAGGAAGGUAAGCAAACACGGACUAGUCAAGGCGACUCGGUUCACCUUGUGUUUACUCUGAUUCUCACUAGAAGAUAUGAAGCUCGAAGAAUCAAAGAUUAAGGGAAUUUGCAGCAAGGAACCAGGGACUUAUAAUUCAUCCUUUUUCUACUCUCCCUGUAGCCAAAAGGACUCGUGCUCAAAUACUGGAGCAAGCUCGUCAUAUUCCAUUACCUCACAGUGAAAGUUCAUUUUCGAACGAGGAGGGUGAAUAUAUUUUUGAGAUGGGUGAUCAAACACUAAAGCAGCUCGCAGCUCCAACAUUUGAUCCAAAUUUAUUGUGCAUAGUAGACUAUGAGGCAAAAAUUGAGAUCAAGCCGGGGUUGAUUAGUGCUCUUCCCACAUUUUCAUGUUUCCGUAAUACUAGCUCCUUGGGUUCAAUUCACAUGAAUAAGGCUAGCAGAUUUUUGAAGGAAUUUCACAUAGCAUGUGCGGGGAUGAAACCGGCUGAGGUCACCCUCGACCAACUCAAGUUAAAGGAAUUUCCUUUUGCCUUAUCUGAUGCUGCUAAGGAGUGGUUAUUUGAAGUACCUGCUGGAACCAUCACAACAUGGGAUCAAAUUCUAAAAGUAUUCGCAGAAAGAUAUUUUCCAGCAUCUUUAAUAGCCAAUAUCAGGAAAGAAAUAUGUGGAAUUCGACAGGACGAUGCAGAGACACUUCAUGAGUACUGGGAGCAUUUCAAGAAACUAUGUGAUAGCUGUCCAAACCAUCAGAUCAGUGAGCAAUUAUUAGUACAGUACUUUUACGAAGGACUUAGGGAGACAGACAGGAAUGUAGUUGAUGCAACAAGUGGUGGAGCACUGGUUGACAAAACACCCGUAGAUGCAAAGAAACUAAUUGCAAACAUGGCUGCAAACUCUUAGUAUCGAGGAGGUCGAAAUAUCAAAUCCACUUCUGUACGUCAAGUUAAUGAAGUGGUGAGUUCUAACCUCGAGCAACAAGUAGCUAAACUCACUUCCUUAUUGGAGCGAGUAAUGGUCGAAAAAGGGCAAUAAAAAACAUGUGGCCUUUGUUCAAUGGUAGGACACCCAACUGAUAUGUGCCCUACUAUGCCAGAAGAGCAAGUGAAUUCUAUUGGUGGUGGUCAGGGAUAGCAAAGACGUUAUGAUCCGUUCUCUCAUACUUAUAAUCUAGGGUGGAGAGAUCAUCCAAAUCUGAGAUAUGGUAAUGCUCAGCAGCAGGCAGGCAACUCUAACCUCAGACCACCAGCUUUCCAGCAACAACAAGCAUCUAAUCCUCACCUAGUUUUCAUCAGCAACCACAAUAUCAGCCGUGACCUCAAAAUCAGCAAGUUUCCCAGCCACAAUCUGGUAUCAUGUCUCUGGAAGAUAUUGUGAAGGCAAUGGCUGACAACACUUUGCAUUUUUAGCAAGAUACAAGAAGUGGUCUAAAGGACUUGGAGAACCAAGUUUCUCAGUUAGCUAACACGGUGGGAAAGCUCCAAGCUCAGAACUCUAAUAAGCUUCCGAGUCAACCAGAGAGAAAUCCAAAGGAGAACGCGAGUGCAAUCUCACUUAAAAGUGCUAAGCAAUUAGAGAUCCCAGCAAAAAAGACUGAAGAGCUGGCAGAACACCAAGAGGAACGGGAGACUAUUGUUCCAGAGCAAGAUAAGCAGCCCCCUAAGGUAAGCAAUGUUGUUUCUCCUAAUACUAAUCAAUCUUCUUCUUCUGUUCCAUUUCCUUAGCAGGUUAUCAUCUAAGAAUAAGAAGAAAGAGCAUGAAAAGGAGAAAGAGACCCUAGACAUUUUUCGCAAGGUUGAGGUGAACAUACCUCUACUGGAAGCUAUAAGACAUGUGUCGCGGUAUGCAAAGUUCUUGAAGGAGUUGUGCACUAAUAAGAGGAGAUUGAGUGGAGAUGAAAAAGUCGGUGUAAGUGAGAAUGUGUCUGCUGUUUUACAGAGGAAAGUUCUUCCAAAGUGCAAGGAUCCAGGUACCUAUAGCUCCGGAGGAUCAAGAGAAAACGACGUUCACAUGCCCGUACGGCACAUUUGCGUAUCGUUGUAGGCCAUUUGGACUGUGCAAUCUCCAGCGUCUUUUCAAAGAUGUAUGGUAAGCAUCUUUUCAGAUUAUCUUGAAAAUUUCAUAGAAGUUUUCAUGGAUGAUUUCACUAUGCAUGGAGAUUCUUUUGAUAGUUGCUUAGAACACCUCACUUUGGUUCUUAAACGUUGUCUCUAAACUAACCUUGUGCUUAAUUCUAAAAAAUGUCAUUUCAUGGUUGAACAAGUUAUAGUUUUAGGCCAUAUUGUGUCUUCUGAAGGAAUAAAAGUCGAUAAAGCUAAAAUAGAUCUUAUUUCUUCUCUGCCUUAUCAUGCCUCUGUGCUGGAAGUUCGUUCCUUUCUUGGCCAUGCAGGUUUCUAUCGAAGGUUUAUUGAAGGUUUUUCGAAGAUUGCACAACCUUUAUGCAGACUACUCUAAAAAGAUGUGGAGUUCCACUUUGGUGAGGCCUGUAAGCAAGAAUUUGACAAGCUGAAAGACAAGUUGGUCACUGCCCCUGUUCUACAACUUCCUAACUGGGAGCUCCCAUUCGAGCUGAUGUGCGACGCUUCUAAUUAUGUUGUAGGGGCAGUGCUAGGUCAGGGAGUUGAAAAAGUUCCCCAUGCCAUCUACUAUGCCUCGAGGACUUUAGAUGCGGCUCAAGCUAAUUAUACUACAACUGAGAAAGAACUUUUAGCUAUAGUUUUUACUUUAGACAAAUUCAGGUCUUAUUUAUUGGAUACUAAAAUUGUUGUAUUUACUGAUCAUGCAACGCUGAAAUAUUUAUGGUCAAAGGAUGUAUCCAAACCUAGGCUAAAACGUUAGAUUUUAUUGCUUCAAAAAUUCAAUGUUAAAAUAAAAGAUAAAAAAGGUUCUGACAAUAGUGUUGCUAAUCAUUUGAGUAGGUUAGUUAUUGAAGCUGAUGAAGAUAAAGUCCCAAUCAAUGAAGAGUUCCCCGAUGAGCAACUUCAUGCCUUGAACUCAGGAACUCCGUGGUAUGCUGAUUUGGUAAAUUUUCUAGUAUUUGGGAAGUUUCCAGCCAGCUACACCAAAGCACAAAAGGACCGGAUGCGAAGCAUAGCAAAAUACUAGAUAUGGGAUGACCCAUAUCUCUGGAAAUAUUAUGCUGAUCAACUGAUCAGAAGGUGCGUACCUGAUUCCGAAUUUCUUUCUAUACUAACUUUCUGCCAUUCUUAUGCAUGUGGGGGACAUUUUGGACCAAAGAGAACCGCACACAAGGUUUUAGAGAACGGAUUCUACUGGCCCUCUAUAUUCAAAGAUGCAUAUGAUAUAUGUAAGGCCUGUGAUAAAUGUCAAAGGACAGGUACAUUAGGUCCUAGGAAUGAAAUGCCCCAAACUCCUAUUUUAUUUUGUGAAAUUUUUGACGUUUGGGGCAUGGAUUUCAUGGGACCCUUCCCCUCUUCUUUCGGUUUUCAAUAUAUUUUGCUGGCUGUCGAUUAUGUCUCGAAAUGGGUGGAAGCUAUAGCCACCCGUACUGAUGGUUCUAAAGUAGUUGUAGAAUUUUUAAAAUCAAAUAUUUUUGCUAGAUAUGGAUUCCCAAGAGACAUCAUAAAUGACAAGGGGACACACUUUUGCAAUAAGACAAUAGGAGCUCUCUUGAAGAAGAUAAUGUGUUUCAUCGAGUGUCCACUGCGUAUCACACACAAACAAAUGGAUAGGCAGAAGUUUCCAAUUGAGAAAUCAAGUCCAUUCUAGAGAAGACUGUGAAUCCAAACGGGAAAGAUUGGAGUCUCCGCCUCAACGAUGCUCUGUGGGCGUACAGAACAGCGUAUAAAACACCGAUUGGGAUGUCUCCUUACAGGCUAGUGUUUGGCAAACCUUGUCACCUUCUAGUAGAAUUGGAACACAAAGCUUUUUGGGCUGUGAGGAGAUGGAUGCAGCAGGUGAGCAAAGGAAACUUCAGUUACAAGAGCUUGAGGAAAUCCGAAAUGAUGCUUUCGAGAAUGCGAGAAUUUACAAGGAGAAGACUAAGGCAUUCCAUGAUGAGCACAUAACACGAAAGACAUUUACAGUGGGGCAAAAAGUUCUCUUGUACCAUUCUCGGCUCAAACUUUUUCCUGGUAAACUUCGUUCUCGAUGGGUGGGGCCCUUUAUUAUUACCAAGGUGUAUGACCAUGGUGCGGUUGAGAUUCGUAGUGAGGAGACGGGGAAGGAAUUCAAGGUGAACGGUCAUCGACUAAAGCCGUACUAUGAGGGUUAUCAGGUCCAGAACAUUGAAGUGAUGGAGCUAGAAGCUCCACAUUAUGAAGACUAGUAUGCUGGAAAGACGUCGAGUUAACGACGAUAAAUAAAGCGCUCUUGGGAGGCAGCCCAAAUUUAGGAGUUUUUUUUUUUACUUUGUUUUCUCGUAAAAAUAAAUAAAAAAAAAAAAAAUUCAGCUCAGAUAUUUCGUUUGCUCCUAUUUUUAAGCCCCCUAUACUAUUCAGGAAACUAAUUCUGUUUUUAUUUUGUAUCAGUUGUUGGAGGACAGUGGGAUUGGCUGGACACAAUGGUGGAGUUAAAGCUACGCUGAUACAACACCUGCUUAUAUCCGAAAAUGUUUGCAACAAGAAAAUAUGAACAUAUUCAAGCUUGGGAUUUGUUGCAAUAUAUUCCUUAAACAUGUCACAACAACAUAGAACAAACAAAUUCAUGAAAACAAGUCGAAUCGAGUACCCCCUAAUUUAAAAAUUAGGGUUCUUCUUUCAAUUUUCCCCAUUUUGUUAACCAAAUUCAAAGUUUGGUACAAUAAACAAGGAGCACGAUUUACUAUCCUUAAGUUCAUACGACAACCAAAAAUGGAAAGAGACCGAAAAAGACGAAUGAAGAAGAAGGGCACGGUUGCAGAUCGUGUUCUUCCACAAUUGUUUGUUGUUUAACCAAAUUCAAAGUUUGGUACAAUAAACAAGGAGCAUGAUUUACUAUCCUUAAGUUCAUACGACAACCAAAAAUGGAAAGAGAUUGGAAAAGAGGAAUGAAGAAGAAGGGCAUGAGCUGCAAAUCGUGUUCUUCCACAAUAAUUCGUUGUUUAAGUUCUGUUCGCAACUCACAGAGUUGCGCGAGAAAGCUGUGCACAACAACCAAUGUUGAGAAAGAGACCGAAAAAGGCGAAUGAAG